This 253-nucleotide ribosomal RNA is filed under the name uncultured bacterium. Its description in RNAcentral is "partial 16S ribosomal RNA". It matches the Rfam family "Bacterial small subunit ribosomal RNA", at positions 524 to 776 of the family's 1533-position model. The record is from RNAcentral.
UACGUAGGGUCCGAGCGUUGUCCGGAAUUAUUGGGCGUAAAGGGCUCGUAGGCGGUUCGUCACGUCGGGAGUGAAAACUCGGAGCUUAACUCCGAGCCUGCUUCCGAUACGGGCAGACUAGAGGUAGGCAGGGGAGAGCGGAACUCCUGGUGUAGCGGUGGAAUGCGCAGAUAUCAGGAAGAACACCGGUGGCGAAGGCGGCUCUCUGGGCCUUACCUGACGCUGAGGCGCGAAAGCUAGGGGAGCGAACGGG